Molecule: ribosomal RNA, 253 nt
Filed under: uncultured bacterium
Lineage: Bacteria
Description: partial 16S ribosomal RNA
Rfam family: Bacterial small subunit ribosomal RNA
Source: RNAcentral
UACGUAGGGGGCAAGCGUUGUCCGGAUUUAUUGGGCGUAAAGAGCGUGUAGGCGGCCAGACAGGUCCGUUGUGAAAACUCGAGGCUCAACCUCGAGAUGUCGAUGGAAACCGCCUGGCUAGAGUCCGGAAGAGGAGUGUGGAAUUCCUGGUGUAGCGGUGAAAUGCGCAGAUAUCAGGAAGAACACCUAUGGCGAAGGCAGGUCUCUGGGCCGAUACUGACGCUGAGGAGCGAAAGCGUGGGGAGCAAACAGG